Molecule: ribosomal RNA, 497 nt
Filed under: uncultured bacterium
Lineage: Bacteria
Description: partial 16S ribosomal RNA
Rfam family: Bacterial small subunit ribosomal RNA
Source: RNAcentral
GAUGAACGCUGGCGGCGUGCCUAAUACAUGCAAGUCGAGCGAACAGACGAGGAGCUUGCUCCUCUGACGUUAGCGGCGGACGGGUGAGUAACACGUGGAUAACCUACCUAUAAGACUGGGAUAACUUCGGGAAACCGGAGCUAAUACCGGAUAAUAUAUUGAACCGCAUGGUUCAAUAGUGAAAGACGGUUUUGCUGUCACUUAUAGAUGGAUCCGCGCCGCAUUAGCUAGUUGGUAAGGUAACGGCUUACCAAGGCAACGAUGCGUAGCCGACCUGAGAGGGGGAUCGGCCACACUGGAACUGAGACACGGUCCAGACUCCUACGGGAGGCAGCAGUAGGGAAUCUUCCGCAAGGGGCGAAAGCCUGACGGAGCAACGCCGCGUGAGGGAUGAAGGUCUUCGGAUCUUAAAACUUUUUUAUUAGGGAAGAACAAAUGUGUAAGUAACUGUGCACUUCUUGACGGUACCUAAUCAGAAAGCCAGGGCUAACUACGUG